This 434-nucleotide ribosomal RNA is filed under the name uncultured Lachnospiraceae bacterium. RNAcentral's name for it is "bacterial SSU rRNA". It matches the Rfam family "Bacterial small subunit ribosomal RNA", at positions 341 to 792 of the family's 1533-position model. The record is from RNAcentral. Lineage: Bacteria; Bacillati; Bacillota; Clostridia; Lachnospirales; Lachnospiraceae.
ACGGGAGGCAGCAGUGGGGAAUAUUGCACAAUGGGGGAAACCCUGAUGCAGCGACGCCGCGUGGGUGAAGAAGUUUUUCGGAAUGUAAGGCCCUAUCAGCAGGGAAGAUAAUGACGGUACCUGACUAAGAAGCCCCGGCUAACUACGUGCCAGCAGCCGCGGUAAUACGUAGGGGGCAAGCGUUAUCCGGAUUUACUGGGUGUAAAGGGAGCGUAGACGGAAUAGCAAGUCUGAAGUGAAAUGUAGGGGCUCAACCCCUGAACUGCUUUGGAAACUGUUGAUCUUGAGUACCGGAGGGGCAGGCGGAAUUCCUGGUGUAGCGGUGAAAUGCGUAGAUAUCAGGAAGAACACCGGUGGCGAAGGCGGCCUGCUGGACGGUAACUGACGUUGAGGCUCGAAAGCGUGGGGAGCAAACAGGAUUAGAUACCCUGGUA